Molecule: ribosomal RNA, 253 nt
Filed under: uncultured bacterium
Lineage: Bacteria
Description: partial 16S ribosomal RNA
Rfam family: Bacterial small subunit ribosomal RNA
Source: RNAcentral
UACGGGAGGGGCAAGCGUUGUUCGGAAUUACUGGGCGUAAAGGGCUCGUAGGCGGCCAACUAAGUCAUACGUGAAAUCCCUCGGCUUAACCGGGGAACUGCGUCUGAUACUGGAUGGCUUGAGUUCGGGAGAGGGAUGCGGAAUUCCAGGUGUAGCGGUGAAAUGCGUAGAUAUCAGGAGGAACACCGGUGGCGAAGGCGGCUAUCUGGACAGAAACUGACGCUGAGGCGCGAAAGCUAGGGGAGCAAACAGG